Molecule: long non-coding RNA, 4077 nt
Filed under: Anas platyrhynchos (mallard)
Lineage: Eukaryota; Metazoa; Chordata; Aves; Anseriformes; Anatidae
Description: lncRNA (ENSAPLG00020007964.1)
Source: RNAcentral
UGCAACACUGCCUGCAGGUGCAUGCUCACACACCCUUUUCCAAGUCUUUUCCAUCCGUGUUUCAUCUCUUCCCUCUUGCAAAGAGACGGAGGAGAAGAGACCAGGAGAAGAGACAGGAGCAGGGGACCCUGCUCAGUAGGGUUUCAAUGGGAGGGCCACGUUGGUGGGACACCAAAGGCCACCUCCUCUGAGGUGACCCCCAUUCACUGCACCCAUGGGAAGCAGAGGAAUAAGAGGGGAGAGUGUGUCUCUAAUGGGCAAAUGGGCUUGGAGGACGAAAAAAGACCAGAGGACGCCCAUUGGGAACUUUUGGUGUCCCCAAACCAUUUCUGCUUUUACGGAUAGGUGAGGAUGCAUGCCCCAAAAACCCAGCGAGCUCCCCAUCCACGAGACAGGGCCAGCUUUUGUCCCGUGCCCAGCCUGGGGGCACAGCACUGGUAUUGUCCCGGGACCGCCUGGGAAAAUGGGAGGGGUUCCCCAUGAAACCUUUCCAUAGAGCAAAACAGCGUCAGAGCUGGGUCUGGGGGGGGGGGACGGGACUGGGGCAGACACCAGAAAAAAAACACACACACAACGGGCAAACAAUACCGGCAGUGUGCUGAGGGAAAGGGAGACCCAUGAAUUGGGAGUUUGAUAAGGAUUUUCUCCCGCGCGCGCCCGCUCUCUCAACAGCCCCUUCAGUUUUCCCGGCACCCCCCUCCUUCCCUUUGCCUGCUCGCUUGUUUGGGCCUCAAACAGUGCGCUGCCUUUGUUCGGGGAUACAGGUGAACGGCCAUCAUGUGAUGCACGCACACGCGGGCGCGCACAUAAAAAGCUUUUUCAGAGCGCCCGGCUCGCCUCAGACCCGAAGACGGGAGAGGAGACCCGGGCCGGGAGCAGCGGGGACGGCGGCGCUGCUCCAUCCCGCUGCAGCACACCCCGUCCCGCCGAGGUCGCCUGAGUGUGAUACUCAAGGGAAAGGCAGCGAGGAGCAAAGGGAGAGGCCAACAUUUCAUCAUGACACUCAGAAAAUCGAUGGGUCUGCGGAUGGCCUCACUCGUGAGACAUCAUGGGACUUGAUUUAUGGAGGCUGUGUGAGAUCAGGACCAGGCCUGAUGCUUGCCAGGGCACCCAAGGCCAACCCCGUCUCCUCUGCUUCCUCACGCCUUUCUCUCCGAAAUCCUCCCCAGUCUGAUAUCAGCGGGCUCCCAGCAUUCGGGGCAUUUUCAAGGACUUUCCAUGAACAGGAGAAGCGGAGAGGCCCCAAAGCCCACGCUCCCUGGUGCUGUGGCGGCCCUGAUCUCCUGUUGCAGGGGACAAAGAAGCGUGAAAGCCACCCCAAAUUUGAUCAGCCACCUUUGUCGGCAUGACCAGAGCCCUUCAACUCGUAAAUGUCCUUGCAAUGGGGAGCCAGGCACUGGGAACCGCAGCCAGGCUCUGGCCUUCAUCACCCCUCAUCAGGAUUACGGUGGAUUACGGUGCCAGCUGCUUUGGAGAGGAGGUGCAGGAACCCUCCUGGAAAGCAGAGGGGUCCAACACCUCUGAGCAACCACAAAGACCCCGGAUCAGCUCCCGACUCAUCGUCUUGGACAGCCCAAGGCUCCCCAAGCACACGGGAAGGACUUCCAGUGCCACACAAGUCCUCCCCAAAGUCCCUGGGACAAUUUAGCAGGGUCUGGGAAGAUCAAAGAAGAGUGAGGCAGGGCAGGUCCGUCUGCUACCUGCUUUGAUGGGUGGCAAGAGCCUCCCUGGCUGUUAACCCCCUCGACUCCUGCUGGAGAGGCCAGGUGUGAUCCCAAAAUGUGACUCCCCCAAAAGCAAGCACUGAAGGGGAAAGGAGCUUUUGCAUUUUCUCAAGGGGAGUCUCCAACAUCCAGCGCGAUACGGUGCAGGGAGCCAGGUGCUCUCGGGCUGCGUGGCCAAGGAGGGAUGCCUGGAGGGAGGAGAAAGGAAUUGUGUACAUUUGGGCUGAAUGAUGAGACAAGGGGAUCCUCCCAAGGGGUCGUAGCAGUGUUGGGUGACUCAGGUGGGCUCGUUCAGCAGGGACCAAGGUGGCUCCGGGGGGAUCUUCAGCUCCAGCAGCCCGCUGGCAGCAGGGAGGCUCCCGGGGAGCCAGGGGAAGGGUUAAGUCGGGAAGGCUUCAGCCCGCUGCCUUGGCCCCUGUAAUUCCUCCAGAGAGUAGGACUGGGAGAACAAGGAGCCCAUUCUGUUCGCAGGAAUUAAUAGCAAGGAGUCAUCUGGGGUGUCAUUCAAGCCCUGAUCAGCUCCCGGAGGAAUGUGAGGGAGAGCGAGCGAGGGAGCACGGCCCCAGGCCGAGGCACCAAAGCCAGGGCAGGAGCGCUUGUGCUGGUAACCAGAGCUACCAGCCGGAAUUCGGGACCCCAGCCUCCGCAUCCCCUCUGCCCUGCGCCCCCCUUCUCAAAGGGCCAGCUCCUAAUCUGGGGGCUCAUUUCCAGACCCUUUGUCCCUUGUUCCCCGUUCGUUUCAUGGCGGGGGAAGAUGUCCCAACCCAUCACCGCCACCACCUCCCUUCCACCAAGCUGCCAGGGCCAUCAGGAAAUGCUCAGAUUUGUCCUCCCCAGCAAGCUUGCCCGUGGAGAGGGUCUCCAAGGAGCCCAUAAGUGCAUCUGGGGAUGAGGGGUAGCUCGGGGGACUGCAGAGUUCAGUGCUGAGCCCUUUGCCACCACAUCAGCUCUCCCCAAGUGACGGUGAUCACCACAGUUUCUGCAACAAAAGACCAGGCCAGAAAAUGAGCACAUCUGUAUUUCACCACAUUGCACCAUGGCCGUGCUGGUGACACCACAAUGCUGCCUGUGAUGGCAACCAGCAAAAAAGAUUUCGGCCACAUCUCUACUGGCCUGAGAAGGGGACCUCAGAGUGGUCCAUCUCUGCCUGGUUGCAUUGCAGGUGUCCUGCAUGUUCACAGCCUGGUGGCACAAGGUGUCCCAGGGCUAUGGAGAUGCACCUGGAUUAUCUCUGCAGGGCCACUAUAUGGCCAACGGGGUCUUCAGGGCAACCCUUCAGGCCAGCCCUAGGUGUGUGCAUGGCCGCAAGGCUGACUGUGAGCUCAGCUCACCAGCAAGGCUAGGUAGGUGGCAACCCAUAUGAAAUGUGAGCAGAGCCCUGCUGGAAUGCACGAGUUGCUUUUGCUGGCCCACAGUUUUGCAGCCAAAGUGCCUCUCACCAAAGCUUUUCCUCCUCCCCAUGCACACCGGCUUGGUGUGAAAAUGGUUUUAAGCGCUAGCUCUGCAUCUCAGCAUCCUGCAAGAGAUGCACGGUGCCUCCAGGACGGACUCCUCCGCCCCCUCCCCAUCCCCAUCCCCAUCCCACCACCACCACCACCACAAUGAGCACCCCUUGUUGUAGAGGGGUUAAUAAAUGAUGCAAGAAAGGAGCCCUUUAAUGCACAGUGACCUCUGGCCUUUCAUAAAUCACAGUGUUGGGCUGUGAGUGCGCGGGGGGCGCGAGGCGGUGGGGGGGGAGAUGAUGGGAGGGGGUCCAUGCAGCUGCGCCACGGAGUUGACAUUGUUCCCACCAUCACUAAAGUGCAACAAAUCCCUCUAUUGUGUUCCUGGUUUAUCUGGUUCCUCUUGUUUAUUAGCAGAGGUUGUUUGGCGCUGGCUCCAGCCCUGGGCGGGUGGAAAGAGUGUUGGCACGCACCAGAGGAGGGGAGGGAGGGAGUGGGGGGGACCGGGACGGGAGGACGAGAGCAGCUCAUCAAUGGCUGUAUUGUCCCAUCUUUUUUGUUGCUCCUGUAAUGAUAUGUUCGAAAAAGGAGAUUAAAUACAAAAAAAAAAAAAAAAAAAAGAGAGAGAGAGCAAGAGAGAGAGAGGCAGGGGGAGAUGAGAGAGGGAGAGAAAGACAAACUGCACUGAAGGACAGGGUAGGAAUGGUGGGGCUGGGCUCGCAGCGGAUGCUCCCGCAGCUGGGGAGGAUGAGUCGGGAUGGAGCCGCGAUGGGGCCGCUCCGUGCCUUUAUGCUGCUUAUUCAGGUCAGGAGCCAUCAGCCCCAGUGCCUGGGGCUGCGCCCACCCGUGCCAACUCUAUUCAUGGCCAGCAGGGAGGAUGGGGUGCUGGGGACGAGGGGCUGGGGGCAGCA